Triticum urartu is the source of this 115-nucleotide non-coding RNA. Lineage: Eukaryota; Viridiplantae; Streptophyta; Magnoliopsida; Poales; Poaceae. The record is from Rfam.
GAUCUACUCCUUCCGUUCCAAAUUACUCGUCGCAAAAAUGAAUGUGUGUAGAACUAAAAUAUAUCUAGAUAUAUCCAUACCUGCGAUAAGUAAUUUGGAACGGAGGGAGUAGGUC